AUGGCUAAGACGCGACAAGAAGCGAUCAAUAUGUUCCUAGAACAGGUUGCAUCUGCAGAGAAGCUUCGCCCAGAGACCGACCCAGAGAUUGUCUUCUUCAAGAGGUACUGCAUAGCGCUUUACUGUAGACCCGAUGGAAUGCUACCCUGCCAUAUCUGCCAGGAAGACAACCCUAGAAACACUCCCAUCUACAUUGAUGAAACUAAUAUGAAGUCUCACUGCAAGAUGCAGCAUCGCAGGGCUACUAUCAAGUGCACUGAGCAGAACUGCACAGUUCUGUUCAACUCACUGGCUGAUAAAGAACUGCACAGAUUCUAUUGCCAUAAGAAAGCCUAUGGUUGGUGGAUCCUUUGA
This 354-nucleotide ribosomal RNA is filed under the name Triticum aestivum (bread wheat). RNAcentral describes it as "partial small subunit ribosomal RNA". The record is from RNAcentral. Lineage: Eukaryota; Viridiplantae; Streptophyta; Magnoliopsida; Poales; Poaceae.